This is a long non-coding RNA of Homo sapiens (human), 546 nucleotides long. RefSeq lists it as uncharacterized. NCBI's taxonomy places the organism in Eukaryota, Metazoa, Chordata, Mammalia, Primates, Hominidae. The record is from RefSeq and is a predicted model, not a curated record. The transcript has 2 exons.
AGAGCCACUUUGCGUGUGGCUGGCUUCAGAAGUCAGAACAGGCUGGGGAGGUUCCUAAGAUGACUGCACUGGAGCUUCUGAGCCUACUCUGGCUUAGGAGGCUGGCUGAUUCAUGACUCAUUAAUUGCGCAGUUAGACUCCUUUAAAUUUAAUUUGGCUGAAGUUUUUCUUUUAUCAACGGUCACCUGGCUCCAAGGGCUACCAGUCCAGCAGGUGCAGAUGACAGUGGCCCUAGGCAUAAAGCAUCGGCUGAGCAAGAGACUGCUGAGGACAUUUCAGGUGUGACAUUAUUAGUAACAGGUCGUGGAGCUGCUUCCUCCAAACUACCAUCAUGAAACACAGUUUAAAAACCCAUGCCUGAGGGAAGGCCGAAUUAUCUUUUUCUUUUCUUUGGAAGAGUAAUUUUAUAAAAUCAUUAUUACAUGAAGAGGUGAUCACAGAGUAUGGGUCAGAAAUGUUAAAAUAUAGGAAAAAAAUGUGUCAGUAUCAUAGAGGUGUGUAAGACUGUCUAUUGCUACUAAUAAUAAAAACUGUUAUUCUUCUGGA